AGAGUUUGAUCCUGGCUCAGAUUGAACGCUGGCGGCAGGCUUAACACAUGCAAGUCGAGCGGAAACGAAGGUAGCUUGCUACCAGGCGUCGAGCGGCGGACGGGUGAGUAAUGCUUAGGAAUCUACCGAGUAGUGGGGGAUAGCCAUUGGGAACGAUGAUUAAUACCGCAUAUAUCCUACGGGGGAAAGCAGGGGACCUUCGGGCCUUGCGCUAUUCGAUGAGCCUGAGUGAGAUUAGCUAGUUGGUGGGGUAAAGGCCUACCAAGGCGACGAUCUCUAGCUGGUCUGAGAGGAUGAUCAGCCACACUGGGACUGAGACACGGCCCAGACUCCUACGGGAGGCAGCAGUGGGGAAUAUUGCACAAUGGACGAAAGUCUGAUGCAGCCAUGCCGCGUGUGUGAAGAAGGCCUUCGGGUUGUAAAGCACUUUCAGCGAGGAGGAAAGGUCAGUAAGUAAUAUUUGCUGGCUGUGACGUUACUCGCAGAAGAAGCACCGGCUAAUUUAGUGCCAGCAGCCGCGGUAAUACUAAAGGUGCAAGCGUUAAUCGGAAUUACUGGGCGUAAAGCGCGCGUAGGUGGUUUGUUAAGUUGGAUGUGAAAGCCCAGGGCUCAACCUUGGAACUGCAUUCAAAACUGACUCACUAGAGUACGAGAGAGGUUAGUGGAAUUUCCUGUGUAGCGGUGAAAUGCGUAGAGAUGGGAAGGAACACCAGUGGCGAAGCGACUGACUGGCUCGAUACUGACACUGA
This 749-nucleotide ribosomal RNA is filed under the name uncultured bacterium. RNAcentral's name for it is "bacterial SSU rRNA". It matches the Rfam family "Bacterial small subunit ribosomal RNA", at positions 8 to 749 of the family's 1533-position model. The record is from RNAcentral.